Long non-coding RNA from Ipomoea triloba (trilobed morning glory), 449 nucleotides. RefSeq lists it as uncharacterized. The record is from RefSeq and is a predicted model, not a curated record. The transcript has 2 exons. NCBI's taxonomy places the organism in Eukaryota, Viridiplantae, Streptophyta, Magnoliopsida, Solanales, Convolvulaceae.
CGGCCAUCAUAUGCAAUGUAGUUGGAUGGGCUAAUCACACACCCUCCAUGGCUGCAUUUGAAGCAGCUCCUGUGAUAUGCACUGCCAUUCACCGAGACCUAUAACGAUAUAAUUCCAGAUUCAUCAAAAAGGAGGUUCACAUUCAUUGGUGGAGCCUUGUUUGGUGGGCAAGUAGAUUCUGUAUUUCUCUUCACAGGCUCAGUUCAUUCUAAACUGACACUGCAACAACACAUGAAUAUAUUAUGGAUUCUGUGAGAUAUGUUCUCCAAAAUGCUGGUGUAUGGGUGGUCUAGGGGGCCAUCAUGAGUCAAGAAACUAGGUGCACUUUGUAAUAUGUUCAGAUGAACAACUUGUACAUUCAUUUUAAUUUGUUUUUUAUGUGUAUUUUUCAAUGACAAGAUGGACUGCAAAAAAUAAAAUAAAAUAAAAAAAUCAUUUUGCAUUAUAAA